GAUGAACGCUGGCGGCGUGCCUAAUACAUGCAAGUCGAGCGAACGGACGAGAAGCUUGCUUUUCUGAUGUUAGCGGCGGACGGGUGAGUAACACGUGGAUAACCUACCUAUAAGACUGGGAUAACUUCGGGAAACCGGAGCUAAUACCGGAUAAUAUUUUGAACCGCAGGGUUCAAAAGUGAAAGACGGUUUUGCUGUCACUUAUAGAUGGAUCCGCGCUGCAUUAGCUAGUUGGUAAGGUAACGGCUUACCAAGGCGACGAUGCAUAGCCGACCUGAGAGGGUGAUCGGCCACACUGGAACUGAGACACGGUCCAGACUCCUACGGGAGGCAGCAGUAGGGAAUCUUCCGCAAUGGGCGAAAGCCUGACGGAGCAACGCCGCGUGAGUGAUGAAGGUCUUCGGAUCGUAAAACUCUGUUAUUAGGGAAGAACAUAUGUGUAAGUAACUGUGCACAUCUUGACGGUACCUAAUCAGAAAGCCACGGCUAACUACGUG
RNAcentral lists this ribosomal RNA (497 nucleotides) under uncultured bacterium. Its description in RNAcentral is "partial 16S ribosomal RNA". It matches the Rfam family "Bacterial small subunit ribosomal RNA", at positions 28 to 507 of the family's 1533-position model. The record is from RNAcentral.